CGGAGGGAUGUGUGAGUGGUUGAAACAGGCGGUCUUGAAAACCGCUUUAGCCGUGAGGCUAACGGGGGUUCGAAUCCCUCUCCCUCCGCCAU
This 92-nucleotide transfer RNA is filed under the name Acidobacterium capsulatum ATCC 51196. RNAcentral describes it as "tRNA-Ser". It matches the Rfam family "tRNA". From Rfam's summary of the family: Transfer RNA (tRNA) molecules are approximately 80 nucleotides in length. The record is from RNAcentral. Lineage: Bacteria; Pseudomonadati; Acidobacteriota; Terriglobia; Terriglobales; Acidobacteriaceae.